GUACACGCUGUGACUAGCAUAUCAAUAAGCGGAGGAAAAGAAACUAACAAGGAUUCCCUAGUAACGGCGAGUGAAGCGGGAAGAGCUCAAAUUUGAAAUCUUCAAGGUUUUACCUUGACGAAUUGUAGUUUAAAGAAGUGUUUUCUGCUGAAGUUUUGGUAAAAGUUCUUUGGAAUAGGACAUCAUAGAGGGUGAGAAUCCCGUAUUUGACCAUUAUUUUCAGCUUUGUGAUACACUUUCAAAGAGUCGGAUUGUUUGGGAAUGCAGUCCAAAAUGGGUGGUAAAUUUCAUCUAAAGCUAAAUAUUGGCGAGAGACCGAUAGCGAACAAGUACCGUGAGGGAAAGAUGAAAAGAACUUUGAAAAGAGAGUUAAACAGUACGUGAAAUUGUCAAAAGGGAAGCGUUUGACACCAGUGUUGUUUUCUCGAAAGUCAAUUAAAAAUGGCUCGAUUUUGUAUUGCUUGAGACCUUAAAAGCUCACUGUACAUUUUUCGUGUCUUUUUUAAUGCACUUUUCGUUUAACAAGUCAACAUCAGUUUCUUUUGUUGUAAAAGGGUCAUUGGAAGGUGGCUUUCUUUUCGGAGAAAGUGUUUAUAGCCUUUGAUCUCUGCAAUCGGAGAGACUGAGGUCUGCAGCGUAGACUCUUCGGGGUUAGAUACAUUUGUGCUAAGUUAUAGCUUUUCAUAGACAACUUGUUGACUAUAAUUAGUCAUGUAGCUUACUCGCUUAUGCUAUUUUACCUACGCUUAGGAUGUUGAACUACUGAGACAUAGA
RNAcentral lists this ribosomal RNA (774 nucleotides) under uncultured Neocallimastigales. Its description in RNAcentral is "partial large subunit ribosomal RNA". It matches the Rfam family "Eukaryotic large subunit ribosomal RNA", at positions 22 to 635 of the family's 3401-position model. Lineage: Eukaryota; Fungi; Neocallimastigomycota; Neocallimastigomycetes; Neocallimastigales. The record is from RNAcentral.